RNAcentral lists this long non-coding RNA (409 nucleotides) under Homo sapiens (human). RNAcentral's name for it is "HSALNT0167204". The record is from RNAcentral. Lineage: Eukaryota; Metazoa; Chordata; Mammalia; Primates; Hominidae.
GGGAUUUCCAGUGGGGAAGCACAGACAUUGGAGGGCUUCUCCAGUCAUUUACUGGGUCACCAUCUGCCCCCUCAAGGAAGCAGGAUCAAGACCUCCCGUGUGCCCAGCUCCGUACAUGGCAGAUAGAGGGCAGCCUCCUGGGCCAAGAGUGACCAGGGCCUUCAUCUUCUUGGCAUGGGUUCCAUCAGGAACACGUUACAACCAACUGAUGAUUUAUCCACCUUUAGAAGGGGACUGAGGCCAUCCCAAAGGUGCCCUAUAUGAACUGCAGUUUGCCCCUCAGUAAAAAUUACUUCACUGAGUUGCAAGCAGUGCAUGGUGGCACACACCUGUAGUCUCGGCUACUAGGGAGGCUGAGGCGGGACGGUCACUUGAGCCCAGAAGAUCAAGUCCAGCAUGGGCAACAUGG